GGAGAGGUGCGAGAGUGGUCGAAUCGGGCUCCCUGCUAAGGAGUUGUACCCUUAACCGGGUACCGAGGGUUCGAAUCCCUCCCUCUCCGCCU
Molecule: transfer RNA, 92 nt
Filed under: Winmispira thermophila DSM 6192
Lineage: Bacteria; Pseudomonadati; Spirochaetota; Spirochaetia; Winmispirales; Winmispiraceae
Also listed under: 1 other name
Description: Spirochaeta thermophila DSM 6192 tRNA-Ser
Rfam family: tRNA
About the family: Transfer RNA (tRNA) molecules are approximately 80 nucleotides in length. Their secondary structure includes four short double-helical elements and three loops (D, anti-codon, and T loops). Further hydrogen bonds mediate the characteristic L-shaped molecular structure. tRNAs have two regions of fundamental functional importance: the anti-codon, which is responsible for specific mRNA codon recognition, and the 3' end, to which the tRNAs corresponding amino acid is attached (by aminoacyl-tRNA synthetases). tRNAs cope with the degeneracy of the genetic code in two manners: having more than one tRNA (with a specific anti-codon) for a particular amino acid; and 'wobble' base-pairing, i.e. permitting non-standard base-pairing at the 3rd anti-codon position.
Source: RNAcentral